ACAAAAGACCUUUGAAAGAAAGAGGCCAUUCAAAGCCCUUGAUCAGAUCAGCCUGCUUCACAGUAACCCUGACACAAGGCAUCUUGCAACCUGUCCUGCCUGCUCCCAACAAGAAGACUGAGAAACACUGGAAACGUAUUUCAGGCUGCCCUUGCAAUGAUAAAUGUGUCUCAGAAUAAAUCGCAAGUACAGGGCACAGUCCUAAUGCUCUUUCUCAAGUUCUGCCUUUUUGUCUUAGUUUUUAUUGCUGAUGCACUCAGCCACUGAAUAAUUUGUUUGUCCUUGUGACUGCUAGAAAACCACAGCGUGCUCCCCUGGGGACAACGCUCACAGAAGCUCACCACUCCAAUAGGAAUGCAGUGAAAGCAAACAAGUUUACCCUCAGGCCCUUAUCCAAAUUGCUUGCCUUAAGUAUUACCCCUUCUGGCAAGAAACAUACAGAUCCCUUUUUGGGAAAAAGGAAAACACCACUGCUGCUGGUGACAGCACUUGCGUGGAGGUCUCAGAGCUCUUGAUAGUGAGCUUUCUAGGUUUCUCUUUAUAACAUUACAAAUAAAUCUCAAGUAGCAGGCUGAAGAAGUCUUAGACUGUCCAGCAGGAGAGCUAUCUUGACAUUUUGGAAACUGAAAGCACAGACUGUACGGACAGAUAACAAUAGCAGCGAGCAAGUAGGUUAGAGGGAAUGUGCACAAAAGGCACGAGUUCCUUAUGCCCCUGCGAGAGAGAAAAUUCUCUAGGUGCUGCAUGGACUGCUGCAAGGGACAGUGGGAAUGGCUUGAACAACGAGCACAGUCAGUGCCAGAGCAGCUUCUGGGAUGAGACAAUUCUCAUUCAGUAUCUGACAGAUCCUGCAGCCAAACCAGAAGGGUAAAUGCCUUGCAGUGAAACCAGAAGGGUAAAUGCCUUGCAGUGCUGACUGACUACACAAUGGACAGAGUACUAAGAUGAUUAAGGGACUGGGCCAUCUCUCCUAUGAGGAAAGGCUGAGAGAGCUGCAUCUGUUCAGCGUGGAGAAGAGAAGACUGAGUAUAAGUAUCUGAAGGGAAGGUGUCAGGAGGAUGGGGCCAGACUCUUCUCAGUGGUGCCCAGUGACAGGACGAGAGGCAACGGGCACAAACUGAACCACAGGAAGUUCCAUCAGAGGAAAACAUGAGGAAAAACUUCUUUCUGUGAGGGUGACAGAGCACUGGAACAGGUUGCUCAAAGAGGUUGUGGAGUCUCCAUCCUUAGAGAUGUUCAAAAGACAUCUGGAUAGGAUGCUGGGCAACGUGCUCUAAGCGACCCUGCUUGAGCAGGGGGGUUGGACUAGAUGAUUUCCAGAGGUCCCUUCCGACCUCAACCAUUCUGUGAUUCUGUGGUACCAAUGAAACUGGCCCACCAAUUCCAUAUCUCAGCUUAAGUAAACAGAUUUCCAAUCACACUAAACUGUACAUGCUGUGGACACUGGGAAAGAAGCAAAGAUUAAUAGCACAUUCCCUCAAGCCUAGCAACACCAUUGACCACAGAACUCAUGCCUGGAAUAAACUACAGACUGAUGAACA
This 1541-nucleotide long non-coding RNA is filed under the name Struthio camelus australis. RNAcentral describes it as "lncRNA (ENSSCUG00000012871.1)". The record is from RNAcentral. Lineage: Eukaryota; Metazoa; Chordata; Aves; Struthioniformes; Struthionidae.